UGGGUGAUUAGCUCAGUUGGUAGAGCAGCUGACUCUUAAUCAGCGGGUCGUAGGUUCGAUCCCUACAUCACCCACCAA
Molecule: transfer RNA, 78 nt
Filed under: Brucella ovis ATCC 25840
Lineage: Bacteria; Pseudomonadati; Pseudomonadota; Alphaproteobacteria; Hyphomicrobiales; Brucellaceae
Description: tRNA-Lys
Rfam family: tRNA
About the family: Transfer RNA (tRNA) molecules are approximately 80 nucleotides in length.
Source: RNAcentral